UCGGGAAUUUUGGGCAAUGGGCGAAAGCCUGACCCAGCAACGCCGCGUGAGGGAUGAAGUAUUUCGGUAUGUAAACCUCGAAAGAAUGGGAAGAAUAAAUGACGGUACCAUUUAUAAGCUCCGGCUAACUACGUGCCAGCAGCCGCGGUAAUACGUAGGGGGCAAGCGUUAUCCGGAAUUAUUGGGUUUAAAGGGUGCGUAGGCGGACUAAUAAGUCAGUGGUGAAAGCCUGCAGCUUAACUGCAGAAUUGCCAUUGAUACUGUUAGUCUUGAGUGCAGUUGAGGUAGGCGGAAUGUGUCAUGUAGCGGUGAAAUGCUUAGAUAUGACACAGAACACCGAUUGCGAAGGCAGCUUGCUAAGCUGUAACUGACGCUGAGGCACGAAAGCGUGGGGAGCAAACA
This 402-nucleotide ribosomal RNA is filed under the name uncultured bacterium. RNAcentral's name for it is "bacterial SSU rRNA". It matches the Rfam family "Bacterial small subunit ribosomal RNA", at positions 355 to 774 of the family's 1533-position model. The record is from RNAcentral.